AAUAUACACACUGAUCCAACAUAUCUCCACAUGUAAAAAUGGUGAAUUAAAGGUUUAUUUCAAUCAAACCAGAGUGGUGAUUGUUGG
Molecule: long non-coding RNA, 87 nt
Organism: Sander lucioperca (pikeperch)
Lineage: Eukaryota; Metazoa; Chordata; Actinopteri; Perciformes; Percidae
Exons: 3
Source: RefSeq, a predicted model, not a curated record